RNAcentral lists this ribosomal RNA (253 nucleotides) under uncultured bacterium. RNAcentral describes it as "partial 16S ribosomal RNA". It matches the Rfam family "Bacterial small subunit ribosomal RNA", at positions 524 to 776 of the family's 1533-position model. The record is from RNAcentral.
UACGAAGGGGGCUAGCGUUGUUCGGAAUCACUGGGCGUAAAGCGCACGUAGGCGGAUUUUUAAGUCAGGGGUGAAAUCCCGAGGCUCAACCUCGGAACUGCCUUUGAUACUGGGGAUCUGGAGUCCGGGAGAGGUGAGUGGAACUGCGAGUGUAGAGGUGAAAUUCGUAGAUAUUCGGAAGAACACCAGUGGCGAAGGCGACUUACUGGACACAUAUUGACGCUGAGGUGCGAAAGCGUGGGGAGCAAACAGG